UGGCCCCCCCUGACUCUUACGCCCCCCCCCAUCCCUAGUCACUACACUUGCACUAACCUUCAUCAUGGACUUUACAUUUGCCCAUUGCAUUGCACUCAAUUUUGCAUUCAACCCAUUUUUUCUUAUGCAACAGUCACUUUGUA
Molecule: long non-coding RNA, 143 nt
Organism: Etheostoma cragini (Arkansas darter)
Lineage: Eukaryota; Metazoa; Chordata; Actinopteri; Perciformes; Percidae
Exons: 3
Source: RefSeq, a predicted model, not a curated record